GGGGGGGGGGGGGGGGGGGGGGGGGGGGGGGGGGGGGGGCGGGCGGGCGGGGAGCGGGCUGUGCUGAUGUUAGCGGCGGACGGGUGAGUAACACGUGGAUAACCUACCUAUAAGACUGGGAUAACUUCGGGAAACCGGAGCUAAUACCGGAUAAUAUUUUGAACCGCAUGGUUCAAAAGUGAAAGACGGUCUUGCUGUCACUUAUAGAUGGAUCCGCGCUGCAUUAGCUAGUUGGUAAGGUAACGGCUUACCAAGGCAACGAUGCAUAGCCGACCUGAGAGGGUGAUCGGCCACACUGGAACUGAGACACGGUCCAGACUCCUACGGGAGGCAGCAGUAGGGAAUCUUCCGCAAUGGGCGAAAGCCUGACGGAGCAACGCCGCGUGAGUGAUGAAGGUCUUUGGAUCGUAAAACUCUGUUAUUAGGGAAGAACAUAUGUGUAAGUAACUGUGCACAUCUUGACGGUACCUAAUCAGAAAGCCACGGCUAACUACGUG
This 497-nucleotide ribosomal RNA is filed under the name uncultured bacterium. RNAcentral describes it as "partial 16S ribosomal RNA". It matches the Rfam family "Bacterial small subunit ribosomal RNA", at positions 27 to 507 of the family's 1533-position model. The record is from RNAcentral.